AAAUUGAAGAGUUUGAUCAUGGCUCAGAUUGAACGCUGGCGGCAGGCCUAACACAUGCAAGUCGAGCGGAAACGAGUUAUCUGAACCUUCGGGGAACGAUAACGGCGUCGAGCGGCGGACGGGUGAGUAAUGCCUAGGAAAUUGCCCUGAUGUGGGGGAUAACCAUUGGAAACGAUGGCUAAUACCGCAUAAUGCCUACGGGCCAAAGAGGGGGACCUUCGGGCCUCUCGCGUCAGGAUAUGCCUAGGUGGGAUUAGCUAGUUGGUGAGGUAAGGGCUCACCAAGGCGACGAUCCCUAGCUGGUCUGAGAGGAUGAUCAGCCACACUGGAACUGAGACACGGUCCAGACUCCUACGGGAGGCAGCAGUGGGGAAUAUUGCACAAUGGGCGCAAGCCUGAUGCAGCCAUGCCGCGUGUGUGAAGAAGGCCUUCGGGUUGUAAAGCACUUUCAGUUGUGAGGAAGGUAGUGCAGUUAAUAGCUGCAUUAUUUGACGUUAGCGACAGAAGAAGCACCGGCUAACUCCGUGCCAGCAGCCGCGGUAAUACGGAGGGUGCGAGCGUUAAUCGGAAUUACUGGGCGUAAAGCGCAUGCAGGUGGUUUGUUAAGUCAGAUGUGAAAGCCCGGGGCUCAACCUCGGAAUUGCAUUUGAAACUGGCAGACUAGAGUACUGUAGAGGGGGGUAGAAUUUCAGGUGUAGCGGUGAAAUGCGUAGAGAUCUGAAGGAAUACCGGUGGCGAAGGCGGCCCCCUGGACAGAUACUGACACUCAGAUGCGAAAGCGUGGGGAGCAAACAGGAUUAGAUACCCUGGUAGUCCACGCCGUAAACGAUGUCUACUUGGAGGUUGUGGCCUUGAGCCGUGGCUUUCGGAGCUAACGCGUUAAGUAGACCGCCUGGGGAGUACGGUCGCAAGAUUAAAACUCAAAUGAAUUGACGGGGGCCCGCACAAGCGGUGGAGCAUGUGGUUUAAUUCGAUGCAACGCGAAGAACCUUACCUACUCUUGACAUCCAGAGAACUUUCCAGAGAUGGAUUGGUGCCUUCGGGAACUCUGAGACAGGUGCUGCAUGGCUGUCGUCAGCUCGUGUUGUGAAAUGUUGGGUUAAGUCCCGCAACGAGCGCAACCCUUAUCCUUGUUUGCCAGCGAGUAAUGUCGGGAACUCCAGGGAGACUGCCGGUGAUAAACCGGAGGAAGGUGGGGACGACGUCAAGUCAUCAUGGCCCUUACGAGUAGGGCUACACACGUGCUACAAUGGCGCAUACAGAGGGCAGCAAGCUAGCGAUAGUGAGCGAAUCCCAAAAAGUGCGUCGUAGUCCGGAUUGGAGUCUGCAACUCGACUCCAUGAAGUCGGAAUCGCUAGUAAUCGUGGAUCAGAAUGCCACGGUGAAUACGUUCCCGGGCCUUGUACACACCGCCCGUCACACCAUGGGAGUGGGCUGCAAAAGAAGUAGGUAGUUUAACCUUCGGGAGGACGCUUACCACUUUGUGGUUCAUGACUGGGGUGAAGUCGUAACAAGGUAGCGCUAGGGGAACCUGGCGCUGGAUCACCUCCUUAUACGAUGAU
This 1562-nucleotide ribosomal RNA is filed under the name Vibrio campbellii. RNAcentral's name for it is "bacterial SSU rRNA". It matches the Rfam family "Bacterial small subunit ribosomal RNA". Lineage: Bacteria; Pseudomonadati; Pseudomonadota; Gammaproteobacteria; Vibrionales; Vibrionaceae. The record is from RNAcentral.